Molecule: small nucleolar RNA, 104 nt
Organism: Callithrix jacchus (white-tufted-ear marmoset)
Lineage: Eukaryota; Metazoa; Chordata; Mammalia; Primates; Cebidae
Source: Ensembl
AUACUCUUGUAGUUCAUAAGUGGGAUAGCUGGGUGUCCACGUGCAUGCACGAGAUGUGCUAGCCUGAAACCUUGUUAUGAUGUUGGCGCAUUACUCAUCUGACA